Bicyclus anynana (squinting bush brown) is the source of this 2948-nucleotide long non-coding RNA. RefSeq lists it as uncharacterized. The transcript is spliced from 4 exons. The record is from RefSeq and is a predicted model, not a curated record. Lineage: Eukaryota; Metazoa; Arthropoda; Insecta; Lepidoptera; Nymphalidae.
CCCCACGCCAGUGUGCCUUCGGCCAAAAGAUUCGUCAAUUUAACGGAUUCUCCAUCCUUUACGCACACAUUGUGGUGUUUAUGGAAAAUGCCUUUUCCAUCCCUUUUUAAUUAUCCGAUCAUUUUCGGAACCGAAGCCAGUCUAUGCUCUGUUGUGAUUGGCUGAACCUUUUUAUUAAAGUUUUAUUUUUGCCUUGUAAAAAAACAUGGCUGCAAUUAUAGUGAAAUGUAAAUAUGUUCCUUGAGUGAAACUGUGAAACCAGUGGAACUACAGGAAACUACAAAUCAAUUUAUCAAGGAUUUUAUUUCUAUUUAUUUAUUUUCUGUAUAUUAUUGUAUAGUAUUGUUAAUAAAGAGUUAUAGUUUGAUUUGUGCUCGGUUAAUUUCAGUGUUCGAUAGUAAAAGUGCAAAAGUGUUUUUGUUUUUCGUUCAAAAUGAAGCGCUGUUGCGUGCCUAAGUGUAAAACAGCUAUUAAUUUACGUGCUGUACCAUAUACUGAUGUUACUAGAUGGAAGGUAUGGUUGAUCAAUUGCCUGUUUUUGCGUAAAUAUUCCUGUUUACCUUGCUAUGUUAUUAAUCAUAGGUUAAGGUUAACUAAGUCUGCGAUACUUACUUUGAAUUUGGAAAUUAGUGAUUUAAACCAAAACGCUGUUCUAGCACCUACAAAUUCCAAGUUCCUAGAGGUAUCUUUCAUCGGGCCUAAUAAAUACGAAUAAACGAUAGUUGACCAUGUAACUACUACUUCACAAACAAACAAAUAGCCUGAAAUGCAGACUAACGCAUUAAAUGUCAAUAUUAACGAACAAUCAAUUAUAUUUCUACAAAUAGUGUCUGUCUAGGCUCACAAUCCCAGUCCGAAUAUUUACAGAGUUCAAUUUUACCUGAUCCCCUGCCUUCUGAAUAUUAGAACAUUAAAACAAAUGUUGCGCAAUGAGACUUACAAAUGCUAACAAUUAUAGUCAAAACUUUGUGCUAGUAAGGACAAUAUUUUAUUUCAAAUUAUCCUUUGUUAACUCAGUUUGGGAAAUUAUUAGUGGAUUCACAGUUAAGAUUAUCUGAUUCUAAAGUCAAAUCUCCUAGAUACACUAAUGAUGAGAAAAUCUUUGCACUUACAUUAUUUAAGUUGAGCCUUACAGAAAUAUUUAAUAUUCCUAUCCAAAUCAACUACAAACUCUCUAUUAACUAAAAUACCUGUGAGACCAGGUAUUAAUGAAUUUAUUUUCCAGCAUUUGGCUGAUUGUGCUAAGAACACACAGACUAUGGGUUUGCAGUGUAUAUUGUUGUUUGAUGAAAUGGCUGUCAACAAAAAUUUAUUUUUUAAUAUUCAUUCUGGGGUUAUUGAGGGUUUUGAAGACCUAGGAACAUAGGUGGUGAACGAGCAAAUAAUGUUGCAGAUAAAGUUUUAGUUUUUAUGUUACGUGGCUUAUUUCCAUCUUGGAAAAUACCUUUACCUUAUUAUUUUCUCUGUGAUGGAAUAAAGACUUUAAAUUUAAAAAGAAUUCUUAGAGAAAUAAUUGAGGCAAUAUUUAAAUCUGGAUUUAUUUUAAGAGCUACGAUCUGUGAUUAAGGUUCUGCAAAUGUAGCUGCAAUAAAUUCAUUAAUAACUGAUACACACAGAGAAUGCCUUCAUAAUAGUAAUGAAGACGCUGAAAAUAUAUUUUAUUAUAUGAUUAAUAACAACAAGGUAUAUCAUAUUCAUGAUGUUCCUCAUUUGUUAAAAUGCUUCCGUAAUAAUUUUCAGAAGAAGGACUUGAUCAUUGGAAAUCAGCAUGCUCAAUGGGCUUUCAUUGAACGGGCUUAUGCUACUGAUGGUGCAGGAGGACGUGCCAGAACCAUUGAUUUAAACGAUAAACAUAUAAACCCAAGUUCCUACGAUAAGAUGAAGAAUACCUGGAUCACUGGGCAUCUGCGUGCUCAAUAUGCUUCCAUCAAUGUUAAGAAUAUGCUACUGUUGGUGUAGGAGGAGGGUGUCCGAGAACAUAAAAAAUUACUUAAGAUGAAGGUCAAUUAUUAUGCUUCGGACGUCUUCAGUUACAGAGGUACACUGUACACUGCCUUUUACUUGGGAAAAUGAAGUCAUACGAAGAUCUUAGUUAUAGUGUUCCACAAUUAUGUUAACAUAACACUCUUACAUACUUAUAACAUAAGCCUCUCUGGUUCAGUGGUUACCCUAUGUGGUCACGAGGUCCGGGGUUAUAUAAGAUACUGAGCUUUUCAUCUAAGAAAUUUUGACUUAUAAUUCUCAGUCCUUAGUUGGGAAUUUAGUGGUGUUACACCCUGUGCCUCAGAGUGCAUGUUAACUUGUCCCGGACAAGGCCACGUCCCGUAAAUAAUGGAUAAAACGCAAAUGGUAGAUACGCCACCUAAUUCUACAAUUCUACGUUUUAUACUAAUUUACUACCCUCUAUAAGUGUACAAGUUUUUAAAAUAAUGGUUUUUUCGAUUCAAAAUUAGAUUUCAUCAUUUUUUACCGGACAAUGUGUUUUAAAUCGGGUCCUAAUGAAAGAAAAAUAAUUAUUACACAAAAAAUAGUCAAAUUAGUUAUAAAUAAUAAGGUGGUGUAUCUAUCAUAUUAGUCUGAUCUACAUGUGCUCUUUAGUAUAAAAAAAAAGUUCUCCAUCUCCUAUAAAAAUGGUUGAGGUGUCAUUCGAUUCGGAAUUGAAUAUACAUAGUUUUUGAAAAAUUUGAAGGCCCGCUCACUAAAAUUGCAAAAGUUAUAAAUAAUUCACUAAAAAUGAAAAAGGGGUUCAAGCAUUUUUAUAGGAGACAGAACUUUUUUUUACUAAAGAGCAGUGACCACAUUCCAUCCAGUUUAAAUGCGUUAUAUCCAUUAAUUACGCGACAUCUGUCAUAUAUUUUGUGAAGUAGUCAUAUAAUUUUGUAACUGUACAAUUUAGUAUUUUACUGCAUGGAAAUGUUUACAUUUUUAUUAAAGAAAUAAAUAAAAGA